CAGACCGCCCCCCACCUUCUCCGCCUCGUCUUCCCCCUCGAUAACCACCUCCUUCCAUUCCUCCUCGGCCGCCCCCCACCAUGGCCCUCGCGCGCGGCCUCCUCCCGCUCCCCAAACCCUAGGGCGCGGCACGCACCCUCUCCUCGCAGGCGCGUGCGCGGGCGGCAUGGCGCUUCAGGCCGCUGGGUCAGCCCCGGCAGUGGCGGCGCUCGGGCUCCUCCUCCCGACCUGCUGGGAGAUCGAGGUCACCUGCGCCGCCGCGAUGAUCCUCGUCGCGCUCUACGCCGCCUUCGAGCUCCUCAGCCCGCGCCCCUCGCAGGCAGGGGGCGACGCCGCCGACGGGCUCCUCGCGGGGGAGCUCGACGCCGCCGACAAGGGAGGCUCGAGCGGCCCCUCUGCGUACGUGGUGAAGCUCGAGCUGUUGGCCGCGAAGAAUUUGAUGGCGGCCAACUUAAAUGGGACGUCUGACCCGUAUGCAUUGAUCACUUGUGGCGCAGAGAAGCGUUUCAGCUCCAUGGUUCCUGGUUCAAGAAACCCAAUGUGGGGAGAGGAAUUCAACUUUUUUGUUGAUAGCCUUCCUGUAAAGAUAAAUGUCACGAUAUAUGACUGGGACAUUGUCUGGAAAAGCACUAUCCUUGGUUCUGUUACGGUUCCAGUUGAGUCUGAGGGGCCGAGUGGACCAGUUUGGUACACACUUGACAGCACAUCAGGCCAGGUGUGUCUUCAUAUUAAGGCAAUCAAAGUUCAUGAGAGUUCCUCCAGGGCUUUAAAUAACUCAGCUGAGGCUGGUGCUCGUAGAAGGAUAUCCUUGGAUAAGCAGGGUCCCACUGUAGUUCAUCAAAAGCCAGGUCCUUUGCAGACAAUUUUUGAACUACCUCCAGAUGAGGUUGUUGACCACAGUUAUUCAUGUGCACUUGAAAGAUCAUUCCUGUAUCAUGGUCGCAUGUAUGUCUCAUCUUGGCACAUUUGCUUUCAUUCAAACGUCUUCUCUAAGCAGAUUAAGGUUGUGAUUCCUUUGAGAGAUAUCGAUGAGAUCAGGAGAAGUCAGCAUGCCGUCAUUAAUCCAGCUAUCACAAUAUUUCUUCGAAUGGGUGCUGGAGGAUUUGGUGUUCCUCCAUUAGGAUGUCCAGAUGGAAGAGUCAGGUACAAAUUUGCAUCGUUUUGGAACAGAAACCAUACAUUUAGAGCAUUACAGCGAGCUGUGAAGAACUUCAAAAUGAUGAUAGAGGCUGAGAAACAGGAACGUGCUCAGUCUGCCCUACGUGCACACAGUAGCUCAAGAAAACACAGCAAGGAAAUCAAUGUUCCAGAAGAUUGCGCUGCAUUAACAGGGCAGUUGCAACCUUUUGUCAAAGAAGAAGUUCUAGUCCCUGUAUUCAAUGGAACUUUUCCAUGUACUGCAGAGCAGUUUUUUAGUAUUCUUUUAAGUGAUGACUCAAGUUACAUAACAGAAUACCGGACAGAUCGGAAGGAUAAAGAUAUAAAUCUGGGGCAAUGGCACAUUGCAGAUGAGUAUGAUGGUCAGGUGAGGGAACUUAAUUGUAAAUCAAUAUGCCAUAGUCCAAUGUGCCCUCCUUAUUCAGCGAUGACAGAGUGGCAGCAUAUGGUUCUUUCAGCUGAUAAAAUGGAUCUGGUGUUUGAAACUGUACAGCAAGUACAUGAUGUUCCAUUUGGUUCAUUCUUUGAGGUACACUGUAGGUGGUCUGUGAAAACUAUCAGUUCUGACUCGUGCAGCAUUAACAUAAGUGUUGGUGCACAUUUCAAGAAAUGGUGCAUAAUGCAAUCUAAAAUAAAGAGUGGUGCUGUAGAUGAGGAGAACUGCGCAUCAUUAUAUUUAAGAAGAAAGAAGGGGUACCCCCCAAGGGAUUACAGAUAUAGAGGGACUGUAACACUCUCUGAAAGUACACAAACUCUCUCUCUCUCUCUCUCUCUCUCUCUCUCUCUGCUGAGCAAGACCAAAACUUGACCAAACAAAAAAAAACUCCCUAAAGCUAGGUGGUCGCAGGGGCGAGAAGGGAGGAAAUUCCCUCAGCCCCAGCGACAGACCAAAGCUGCAGAUCCUCCCUGGUGGUUGACAGGAUGCUGUUCAGGUCAGGAACAGCCCCAUCAAAAACACACAUGUUUUGGUGAUUCCACAGAUUCCAAGCUCCCAAAAUGACUAGAUAGCUCCUUUUCUGAUCUGACAAGACACCCUGCUGCUCAAAUUGUCCCACCAAUCAUUGAAGAUCUCAUCAUCCAAACCUGGGGCAAGUGCUUGCAGUCCAAGGCCCUGCAGCAAGUUGAACCAAAACUGACGGGAAAAAACACAAGAGACCAAAAGGUGGUCUAAAGUUUCUUCAACCUGAUCACAAAGAGGACAAAGUGCAGGGUGGGGAAGUCCCUUUUUUGCAAGGCGUUCAGCUGUCCAACAUUUUUUGUGUGCUGCCGUCCACAUGAAGAAUUUGCACUUGCCAGUUGAGGAAGGAAGUCAAGGAAAUGUUAGAGUUCGCACAAGCUUAUAUGCUCAAAGUUCGGUCUCCUAACCACGAGAACAGUGAUCUUACCCAACAAGACAACAUGGCAUCAGACGAAGCGCCUGCUAACCAAUAAUUAUUUCAGCUUGUGUCUCCUGAUGUAGGAUCACUGAAUCAUAACCGCCAUCGCAUGACACAAUGAAUUAUGAUGUUAUACACAGAAGGGAAGGUGGACUUGUAACUGGUCCACAUCAGACAUGACAUGCUGCCUUUCAAAAGAAUGUGUAGAUCGUGUAAAGUUCCUUUCCUGACAUUUCGGCUGAUGUAUAUGGGUAAACGUGAAAUAUAGUGCUGGCUGUGGGCAUGUCAGUUUGUGUUGUUAAAGAUAAACAAAGAAAGAAACAAUAGAGAAAUAUGUGCCCGAAAAUCAUCAGAGCUUGUGCAGCGUACAUUUCUGUAGUUACAAAAGGCUUAUGUUGUGCAAUAAAAGUUCCAUGUCCUAAAAAUAACUUAAAAACA
Molecule: RNA transcript, 2972 nt
Organism: Panicum virgatum (switchgrass)
Lineage: Eukaryota; Viridiplantae; Streptophyta; Magnoliopsida; Poales; Poaceae
Gene name: BAG-associated GRAM protein 1-like
Exons: 19
Source: RefSeq, a predicted model, not a curated record